CCCAAAUGCAUGUUUCCAAUUGCCAAGCUGCUCUUCUCCAAGCAGAGAUGCAGGGACCCAGCGACUGAAGGAGCCCUUGUUUUUCCCAGUUGCUGGGGAAAGUGGUUAAAGAAGGUGCCUCACUUCUGAAACACUCCAGCCCAGAAGCAACAGGCAUCACUUCUGCUCACCUUCCACUGGUGAGAACAAGUUACAUGGGCACACCAAGAUGCAAGGGGAAAGAGAGACCCUGGCCUGGCAGUCCCUUUCUGGUGACAUCUCUCCACUAUGAAAGGGGAACAUGAACCUCUGUUGGACAGCUAUCUGUCUUGAUCACAUCUGCCCCCCAUUGUAUAAUGUGAUUAAAAGAACACUGAGCUAGAAUCAGAAGACCCGGGUUCUGGAAUUAUUCACACUUCCUCACAGGAUGAUCUUGAGCAAGUCAUUUUCCCUCAUGUGUCUGUUUCCUUAUCUGCAAAAUAAAGUCUCCACCUGUGCUGCUCACUCCACGAACAAGGAUGGUGGCAGGAGUUGUGAGAUGGAGCCUCAUUAUGCUGCCCAGUCUGGUCUCGAACGCCUGGUCUCAAGGGAUUCUCCUACCUCAGCCUCCCUAAAUGCCGGGAUUAUAGGCAUAAGCCACUGCACCCGGCCCUCCACCUUUCCUUAAACUAUUUAGAAACCCUCUUUGACACAGGGUCAGGUUAAGAUGCUUGAACUUUUGGGUAAAGAACAAGGCUGGGUGCGGUGGCUCAUUUCUGUAAUCCUAGCACUUUGGGAGGCCGAGGUGGGUGGAUCGUUUGACUCCAAGAGUUCGAGACCAGCCUAGGCAACAUGGCGAGACACAGUCUCUACAAAAAAUACAAAAACAAAUUAGCCAGGUGUGAUGGUGUAUGCCUGUAGUCCCAGCUACUCAGGAGGCUGAGUGGGGAGGAUUGCUUAAACCUGGGAGGUUGAGGCUGCAGUGAGCCAUGAUGGCGCCACUGCAUUCCAGCCUGGGUGAUAGAGCCAGAUACUGUAAAAAAAAAAAAAAGAAAAAAGAAGAAAAAGAAGAAGAAGAAGAGGAAGAAGAAGAGAAAGAAGAAGAAGAGGAGGAGGAGGAGGAGGAAGAAAAGGAAGGGAAAAGAAAAGAAAAAUAACAUGUCUGAGAAUUUCUGGAAUGCAUCCUGAAUUCCUAAUAGAGAUUCCUGGAAUGCAUCCUUCACACCAGGGAAUUUCCAUUCCUUUCUUACUGGGCAAUUGUUAUGGGGAUCUGGAUUUAUUUCUGGCUCUGUCACUAACUUUUUGGGUAACUCUCAUUCAACUCACUUUGCGUCUUGAGGCCUCAGUUUCCUCAUCUGUAAAAUGGGAACAAUAAUCCUCACCUCAUAGGGUUGUUGUGCAGAUGAAAUGAGAUGAAAUAUGUGAGAAGACUCCCUUCCCUCCUUUCUCUACAAAAUGUCAGGACUGUGCCUAUCACGGGAGAACAGUAGUAUUCUCCUCAGUGCAGAUUGUCAACCGCUGUACCAACUUGUGCUAAGUCUGUUCACGCAUACCACCUGAGUCAGAACUUUUCAUUAAUGCCAGGGGAAUUCCAUCUCAGCUCCCCCAGUCAAGGAGUUCUGAGUCAUGUUUCAUCAAGGAUUUAUUGCAGGAGUACUUUGGGAAAGAAGGACGCGUGCUGCUCUGAGGAACUGGGACCACACCCUGGUGCUUGGGAAUUGGUGGCGGUGGUUGCAUUUUGUUGUUGGCUUGUUUGUUUUAAAACAUCCACAUCCUGUCCCACAGCUGGAGCAUAAAAUCAAGCUUUAGUUGUGGGAUUUUUGUUUACUUUAUUCACUAGUUGGGCUGGUCAGGAGUUUAACGGAGGUCAAUGCCUUUAACAUUGCUUGGAUUCUAUAAAGAGAAUUCUAGCAGUUUGUGCUACGAAAUAUCCUAGUGUAAAAGAGGAACUUAAAAAAAUUGACUCACACGGUCUGGUUGCUUUUAGGAUAAAUUAAUUUUUGUUUUGCUUACAAAAAUAAUAACAACUUCUGAAUGUUUAUAUGUUUUCGUUUUGCACAGGAAGCUUUGGCAAUAGAAAAUGUUGGUAGAAAAAGUAAUUAAAGAAAUAAAUGUGGCAACUCUCACAGCUGUAAAUCAUUGAUUUAGUCCCAUUUGUCCCACCCCUUACCCCCCAAAAAAAGAAAGAAGAAAGAAAGAAAAGAGGGAGAGGGAGAAAGACAGAGAAAAAAGAAAAAGAAGGAAAGAAAGAGAGUUAGCCUUUUUGCCAGAAGAUC
RNAcentral lists this long non-coding RNA (2234 nucleotides) under Homo sapiens (human). RNAcentral's name for it is "HSALNT0008210". Lineage: Eukaryota; Metazoa; Chordata; Mammalia; Primates; Hominidae. The record is from RNAcentral.